AGUUAGCUCUCCUAGCCAUGAUGGAGGGCGGCGUACGGCUCAGUAACAUGUGGUCAAUCUACCCUCAGGACGGAGAUAACCUCGGGAAACUGAGGCUAAUAUCCGAUAGAUAAUGGAUCCUGGAAUGGUUCAUUAUUCAAACGGCACAUUGCUCAUGCGCAGUGUGUCGCCUGAGGAUGAGACUGCACCCUAUCAGGUAGUUGGUGGGGUAACGGCCCACCAAGCCUAUAACGGGUACGGGCCCUGAGAGGGGGAGCCCGGAGAUGGGCACUGAGACAAGGGCCCAGGCCCUACGGGGCGCAGCAGGCGCGAAACCUCUGCAAUGCGCGAAAGCGCGACAGGGCCACCCCGAGUGCUAGCCGCUGAGGUUAGCUUUUCCUUAGUGUAGUAAGCUAAGGGAAUAAGCGGGGGGCAAGCCUGGUGUCAGCCGCCGCGGUAAUACCAGCUCCGCGAGUGGUCGGGACGAUUAUUGGGCCUAAAGCGUCCGUAGCCGGCCUAUCAAGUCUCUGGUUAAACCUCAAGGCUCAACCUCGAGAUUGCUGGAGAUACUGUUAGGCUAGGGGGCGGGAGAGGUUGAGGGUACUUCGCGGGUAGGGGCGAAAUCCUAUAAUCCGCGAAGGACCACCAGUGGCGAAGGCGCUCAACUGGAACGCGCCCGACGGUGAGGGACGAAAGCCAGGGGAGCAAAGGGGAUUAGAUACCCCCGUAGUCCUGGCUGUAAACGAUGCGGGCUAGGU
RNAcentral lists this ribosomal RNA (737 nucleotides) under uncultured Thermofilum sp. RNAcentral's name for it is "bacterial SSU rRNA". It matches the Rfam family "Archaeal small subunit ribosomal RNA", at positions 43 to 772 of the family's 1478-position model. The record is from RNAcentral. Lineage: Archaea; Thermoproteati; Thermoproteota; Thermoprotei; Thermofilales; Thermofilaceae.